ACCAAUUGAGGACUUUAUGCAAGAG
RNAcentral lists this non-coding RNA (25 nucleotides) under Cricetulus griseus (Chinese hamster). The record is from RNAcentral. Lineage: Eukaryota; Metazoa; Chordata; Mammalia; Rodentia; Cricetidae.